UACGGAGGAUCCAAGCGUUAUCCGGAAUCAUUGGGUUUAAAGGGUCCGUAGGCGGUUUAGUAAGUCAGUGGUGAAAGCCCAUCGCUCAACGGUGGAACGGCCAUUGAUACUGCUAAACUUGAAUUAUUAGGAAGUAACUAGAAUAUGUAGUGUAGCGGUGAAAUGCUUAGAGAUUACAUGGAAUACCAAUUGCGAAGGCAGGUUACUACUAAUGGAUUGACGCUGAUGGACGAAAGCGUGGAUAGCGAACAGG
Molecule: ribosomal RNA, 253 nt
Filed under: uncultured bacterium
Lineage: Bacteria
Description: partial 16S ribosomal RNA
Rfam family: Bacterial small subunit ribosomal RNA
Source: RNAcentral